GACGAACGCUGGCGGCGUGCCUAAUACAUGCAAGUCGAACGCACAGUUUAUACCGUAGCUUGCUACACCAUAAACUGUGAGUUGCGAACGGGUGAGUAACGCGUAGGUAACCUGCCUGGUAGCGGGGGAUAACUCUUGGAAACGAUAGCUAAUACCGCAUAAUAUUGAUUAUUGCAUGAUAAUUGAUUGAAAGAUGCUAUUGCAUCACUACCAGAUGGACCUGCGUUGUAUUAGCUAGUAGGUGAGGUAACGGCUCACCUAGGCGACGAUACAUAGCCGACCUGAGAGGGUGAUCGGCCACACUGGGACUGAGACACGGCCCAGACUCCUACGGGAGGCAGCAGUAGGGAAUCUUCGGCAAUGGACGAAAGUCUGACCGAGCAACGCCGCGUGAGUGAAGAAGGUUUUCGGAUCGUAAAGCUCUGUUGUAAGAGAAGAACGGGUGUGAGAGUGGAAAGUUCACACUGUGACGGUAGCUUACCAGAAAGGGACGGCUAACUACGUG
RNAcentral lists this ribosomal RNA (505 nucleotides) under uncultured bacterium. RNAcentral describes it as "partial 16S ribosomal RNA". It matches the Rfam family "Bacterial small subunit ribosomal RNA", at positions 28 to 507 of the family's 1533-position model. The record is from RNAcentral.